AUCGCUUAWAUGUCAAAGCUUUAUGUGCUGAAAGAUGGYCUCGCGUCUGAUUASAUAKUUGGUGGGGUAACGGCCCACCAAGUCGACRAUSARUARCCGGUCUGASAGGAUGAACGGCSACAUUGRGACUGAGAUACCGCCCACACUCCUACSGGAGGCAKCARUGGGGAAUAUUGGGCAAUGGGGGAAACCCUGACCCARCAACGCCGCGUGAAGGAAGAAGGCCUUCGGGUUGUAAACUUCUUUUAGCAGGGACGAAGGACGUGACGGUACCUGCAGAAAAAGCAACGGCUAACUACGUGCCAGCAGCCGCGGUAAUACGUAGGUUGCAAGCGUUGUCCGGAUUUACUGGGUGUAAAGGGCGUGUAGGCGGAGAUGCAAGUUGGGAGUGAAAUCCCGGGGCUCAACCCCGGAACUGCUUUCAAAACUGCAUCCCUUGAGUGUCGGAGAGGCAAGCGGAAUUCCUAGUGUAGCGGUGAAAUGCGUAGAUAUUAGGAGGAACACCAGUGGCGAAGGCGGCUUGCUGGACGAUAACUGACGCUGAGGCGCGAAAGCGUGGGGAGCAAACAGGAUUAGAUACCCUGGUAGUCCACGCUGUAAACGAUGAAUACUAGGUGUGGGAGGACUGACCCCUUCCGUGCCGCAGUUAACACAAUAAGUAUUCCACCUGGGGAGUACGACCGCAAGGUUGAAACUCAAAGGAAUUGACGGGGGCCCGCACAAGCAGUGGAUUAUGUGGUUUAAUUCGACGCAACGCGAAGAACCUUACCAGGACUUGACAUCCAACUAACGAAGCAGAGAUGCAUUAGGUACCCUUCGGGGAAAGUUGAGACAGGUGGUGCAUGGUUGUCGUCAGCUCGUGUCGUGAGAUGUUGGGUUAAGUCCCGCAACGAGCGCAACCCCUAUUGUUAGUUGCUACGCAAGAGCACUCUAGCGAGACUGCCGUUGACAAAACGGAGGAAGGCGGGGACGACGUCAAAUCAUCAUGCCCCUUAUGUCCUGGGCUACACACGUAAUACAAUGGCCAUCAACAAAGGGAAGCAAUACCGCGAGGUGGAGCAAAUCCCCAAAAAUGGUCUCAGUUCGGAUUGCAGGCUGCAA
RNAcentral lists this ribosomal RNA (1101 nucleotides) under uncultured bacterium. RNAcentral's name for it is "bacterial SSU rRNA". It matches the Rfam family "Bacterial small subunit ribosomal RNA", at positions 189 to 1310 of the family's 1533-position model. The record is from RNAcentral.